Molecule: ribosomal RNA, 419 nt
Filed under: uncultured archaeon
Lineage: Archaea
Description: partial 16S ribosomal RNA
Rfam family: Archaeal small subunit ribosomal RNA
Source: RNAcentral
CUACGGGGGCUGCAGUUAGGUAUAAUCUACAAUGCACGAAAGUGUGAUAGUUUGAAUCAGAGUGCUUUGCUUUGCAAAGCUUUUGUGAAAUGUAAAAAGUUUCACGAAUAAGGACUGGGUAAGACUAGUGCCAGCCGCCGCGGUAAUACUAGCGGUCCAAGUCGCAGCCAUUUUUAUUGGGUCUAAAACAUCCGUAGCUUGCUUUGUAAGUUCCUUGUGAAAUCCUAUAUCUCAAAUAUAGGGCGGGCAAGGAGUACUGCUAAGCUAGAGACUGGGAGACGUAACGAGUACGUUUGAGGUAGCGGUAAAAUGUGUUAAUCUCAGACGGACUAACAAUAGCGAAGGCACGUUACGAGAACAGUUCUGACAGUAAGGGAUGAAGGCCAGGGGCGCAAAACGGAUUAGAUACCCCGGUAGUC